RNAcentral lists this ribosomal RNA (301 nucleotides) under uncultured bacterium. RNAcentral describes it as "partial 16S ribosomal RNA". It matches the Rfam family "Bacterial small subunit ribosomal RNA", at positions 509 to 807 of the family's 1533-position model. The record is from RNAcentral.
CAGCCGCCGCGGGAAUACGUAGGGUGCGAGCGUUAAUCGGAAUCACUGGGCGUAAAGCGUGCGCAGGCGGUUCGUUAAGACAGAUGUGAAAUCCCCGGGCUUAACCUGGGAACUGCAUUUGUGACUGGCGAGCUAGAGUAUGGCAGAGGGGGGUAGAAUUCCACGUGUAGCAGUGAAAUGCGUAGAGAUGUGGAGGAAUACCGAUGGCGAAGGCAGCCCCCUGGGCCAAUACUGACGCUCAUGCACGAAAGCGUGGGGAGCAAACAGGAUUAGAUACCCGCGUAGUCCCUGUCUCUUAUAC